CAAGAGAUGGUAAUUAUGGGUCAACAAUGGAUGUGCAUGUGCUUCUCCAUCACUACACACAAGAAGCUUAUAAAUCACAUAAAAACACACACACAGAGGCAUAAAAUCAGUGUAAUAAUAAAUUGAAUAACUGAAACCCAGAAAUCAUCUGAAUCCAAAGGGCACCAUUUCCCAACUUCCUGAUAGCUUUUGCGAAACUCAAGCGAUGGUUGUAGUCCACCAGAUUGGAUUUCACUCUGUUCAUUCAAUGAUGUCAAAUUAACAUAUUUGGAGAAAAGAAAUGGGAUGAGUACCAUGUAAUUUUGCAUGAUUCCUGUGCCCACAAGGUUUUCUUUAGAGUCUAAACUGCAAUUGGGUCCA
Molecule: unclassified non-coding RNA, 360 nt
Filed under: Hevea brasiliensis (rubber tree)
Lineage: Eukaryota; Viridiplantae; Streptophyta; Magnoliopsida; Malpighiales; Euphorbiaceae
Source: RNAcentral